Molecule: ribosomal RNA, 377 nt
Filed under: uncultured bacterium
Lineage: Bacteria
Description: bacterial SSU rRNA
Rfam family: Bacterial small subunit ribosomal RNA
Source: RNAcentral
AUACGUAGGGGGCGAGCGUUGUCCGGAAUUACUGGGCGUAAAGGGCGUGUAGGCGGCCUGUUAAGUCAGGCGUGAAAACCCCGGGCUUAACCUGGGGACUGCGUUUGAAACUGGCGGGCUUGAGGGCAGGGGAGGAAAGUGGAAUUCCCGGUGUAGCGGUGAUAUGCGUAGAUACCGGGAGGAACACCAGUGGCGAAGGCGGCUUUCUGGACUGCACCUGACGCUGAGGCGCGAAAGCCAGGGGAGCGAACGGGAUUAGAUACCCCGGUAGUCCUGGCCGUAAACGAUGGGUACUAGGUGUGGGAGGUAUCGACUCCUUCCGUGCCGGAGUUAACACAAUAAGUACUCCGCCUGGGAAGUACGAUCGCAAGAUUAAA